RNAcentral lists this small RNA (84 nucleotides) under Arabidopsis thaliana (thale cress). Its description in RNAcentral is "ATSL053560". The record is from RNAcentral. Lineage: Eukaryota; Viridiplantae; Streptophyta; Magnoliopsida; Brassicales; Brassicaceae.
AUUUAGUUAUAAAAUAUCGUCUUGCGGUGUACCAUAAAUUUGAUAUCAUAUAUCCAUAGAUCAUCCUAAAAAAAUAUUCAAAAU